Molecule: ribosomal RNA, 293 nt
Filed under: uncultured prokaryote
Description: partial 16S ribosomal RNA
Rfam family: Archaeal small subunit ribosomal RNA
Source: RNAcentral
GCGCCAGCCGCCGCGGUAAUACCGGCAGCCCGAGUGAUGGCCGAUCUUAUUGGGCCUAAAGCGUCCGUAGCUGGCCGCACAAGUCCAUCGGAAAAUCCACCCGCCCAACGGGUGGGCGUCCAGCGGAAACUGUGUGGCUUGGGACCGGAAGGCGCGACGGGUACGUCCGGGGUAGGAGUGAGAUCCCGUAAUCCUGGACGGACCGCCGAUGGCGAAAGCACGUCGCGAGGACGGAUCCGACAGUGAGGGACGAAAGCUAGGGUCUCGAACCGGAUUAGAAACCCUUGUAGUCC